This 357-nucleotide unclassified non-coding RNA is filed under the name uncultured Acremonium. RNAcentral describes it as "sequence contains ITS1". The stretch from base 1 to 106 matches the Rfam family "5.8S ribosomal RNA", at positions 50 to 154 of the family's 154-position model. The record is from RNAcentral. Lineage: Eukaryota; Fungi; Ascomycota.
GAAACGCGAUAGCUAGUGUGAAUUGCAGAAUCUCAGUGAAUCAUCGAGUCUUUGAACGCACAUUGCGCCCGGCGGCACUCCGCCGGGCACGCCCGUCCGAGCGUCAUAUCCAGCACCCCGCGGCCCCAGGCCCGGCGUUGGGCCGUCUCCCCCCCGGCGGGCGCCUGUCGAGAGGCAGGCGCCCGCCGCGAGAGGCCCCAAACCCAUCGGCGGCGCUGCCCCGGACCGCGCGCGCAGUAUGCACUGUACGCUCGCGACGCGACCCGGGACGCGCGCUGGCCACGCCAGCGGGCCGCCCCAGCGCGGCCCACACGCAAGCUUGACCUCGGAUCGGGCGGGGAUACCCGCUGAACUUAA